RNAcentral lists this ribosomal RNA (455 nucleotides) under uncultured organism. RNAcentral describes it as "bacterial SSU rRNA". It matches the Rfam family "Bacterial small subunit ribosomal RNA", at positions 346 to 794 of the family's 1533-position model. The record is from RNAcentral.
GUGCACCAGUCGAGAAUUUUUCUCAAUGGGGGAAACCCUGAAGGAGCGACGCCGCGUGGAGGAUGAAGGCUUUCGGGUUGUAAACUCCUGUCAUUUGAGAACAAGUGUAGCCAAGUAACUACUGGCUACUUGAUAGUAUCAGAAGAGGAAGGGACGGCUAACUCUGUGCCAGCAGCCGCGGUAAUACAGAGGUCCCAAGCGUUGUUCGGAUUCAUUGGGCGUAAAGGGUGCGUAGGUGGCGCCGUAAGUGGGGUGUGAAAUUUCGGAGCUUAACUCCGAAACUGCAUUCCAUACUGCGGUGCUUGAGGACUGGAGAGGAGACUGGAAUUCAUGGUGUAGCAGUGAAAUGCGUAGAGAUCAUGAGGAAGACCAGUGGCGAAGGCGGGUCUCUGGACAGUUCCUGACACUGAGGCACGAAGGCUAGGGGAGCGAACGGGAUUAGAUACCCCUGUAGU